Long non-coding RNA from Aplysia californica (California sea hare), 1155 nucleotides. RefSeq lists it as uncharacterized. The transcript has 4 exons. The record is from RefSeq and is a predicted model, not a curated record. Lineage: Eukaryota; Metazoa; Mollusca; Gastropoda; Aplysiida; Aplysiidae.
ACCUGGGCAAAAUUCAAAAUUGAUAAUUCCUGUCAAACUGAAAAUGUUUAAUGUAGGGACAUCAAAUCUGUAAAUAUAAUUUAGGAUGAAAAUCAUGGUUUGUCAUAUUGACUCCUGUCUGUAAGUGUAGCGUACCCAUGGUUGAAUUUUAUUUUUUUAAAGUUUUGUUGAAGCCAGUCGAAAGAUGACCGAGUUAAACAGCCCUUUAAAUGGGCCCCUCUUUUUAUUUAGACACCUGUUACUAUCUCUCUAUUGAAAUAAUGAUAAUGAUUAGAUUAAAAUAUAUUGAAAUAGAUUUAUGCCAUAAAUAAACUUGAUGAUGGUUGCCUAAUGUUUAUCUUUAUGACAUGGUUUUUAUUGUUUCAUUACAGUGGGGAGAUAUUUGCUCACAAAACAAACGUGUGUGCCUCAGUGACAGAGACCUGGUCUAUCUCCUGGACACGAGGAGAGAGCAAAGGUCGACCAGAAACUGGAGGAGGGUGAGGAACCGGGGAACAGAAUUUUUACUGAAACAACAGACUUUAGCGAGACAUAGAGGGAAAAGAAGACAAACUACAGUGGAGUCUGCUGAAACCAAACACGGUUCAUCCGAUAAUCAUGUGGCGCUGUUUCCAUCUGUACUUUUUACCUGUGCUGAAAGUGGCUUGAAAGAGCACCAAAACUGGUCCCUCACACCGGUGGAGCAACUGGCUGUUGCUAUGGAGAGAAGCUUUCUACGUAAAACAUCAUCUUUUUCCGAGUUGAACAUUCCAAAAGCCCAACAGUCGUGCGUACCUGAAUGCCAUAGAAAUCUCGCCCUUCCUUGAGAUACAGCCAUAGUUCUCAACACUCAACCAUUCAUCUAAGAAACGCGAUUCUACAGACAGGAUGUCUUCUGAACGUCAGAACCUGACAGAAAUGUUCAGCUAUCUGUCCGGAGAACAUUCACGACGCUACCAUGUUGAAGGGGACAUCAGCGCUGCUUACUCAGAGAUGGUCAUCAACAGGAUCUGUCGGUAGAUUUGACUGGACGAAAGAUGAAGCAGACAAAGAGAUGUGGAUAACUGAGUGGAUCUGUGUGGAUCGGAAAAAUACCUCAUGUCUAGCUCAUCCCGAAUAUUCCCCACUAUUUUUUAGCUCAUCCCCAGUAAUUUUUUAUAUGAUCCCUAUUAUUUU